GCCAGGCAUGGUGGUGCAUGCCUGUAGUCCCAGCUACUCAGGAGGCUGAGGCAGGAGAAUUGCUUGAACCCAGGAGGCGGAGAUUGCAGUGAGCCGAGAUUGCGCCACUGCACUCCAGCCUGGGUGACAGAGCGAGACUCCGUCUCAA
RNAcentral lists this non-coding RNA (148 nucleotides) under Pan paniscus (pygmy chimpanzee). Lineage: Eukaryota; Metazoa; Chordata; Mammalia; Primates; Hominidae. The record is from Rfam by way of RNAcentral. RNAcentral also lists the same sequence under 1 other name.